CCUAUAAAGAAAAAAAUAUAUAUAUAGAGAGAAAUAACAAAAGAAACUAUCCAAAGGGAAACAUAAAGAAAAAAUUAAAAUAAAAAGGAAAGAGAAAAAGGAAUAGACUAAUGGUUAAUUAUGGAACAGUUUCAAGAAAAAUAUACCUGUAAUUUUUUAAGUCCCCGGAGGAAAGAAGUUUAAAAUGUGUAUUUGAACAAAUAGUGGCUGAAAUUUUCCAAAUGAUGAAAAUCUUAACCCUUAGAUCUGAUAUGCUCAACAAUCUUUAAUCAUAAGAAACAUGAAGAAAAUGACAUCACAAUACAUAAUAAUCAAGUGACUUAAAACUGGUGAUUUUAAAGAAAAACUAAAUUUUCAAAAGAAAAUCCUUUUUUUUUCCCCCCUCUUUCUGUCUUUUUAGGGCUGCAUUUGCAGCAUGUGGAAGUUCCCAGGCUAGGUGUAAAAUCCAAGCUGCAGCUGCUGGCCUACAUCACAGCCACAACACCAGAUCCAAGCCACAUGUCUGCAACCUACACUGCCCCUUGAGGCAAUGCCAGAUCAUUUAACCCACUGAGCAAGGCCAGGAAUGGAACCUUCAUCCUCAUGGAUACUAGUCAGCUGCUUAGCCCACUGAGGCACAACAGUAACUUCUCAAAAGAAAAUCUUGGAAGCAGCCAUGGGGAAGAAAAAGAAGAAAGACAUGUUAUGUAUAGAGAGACAAAAUAAGAACAACAGCAGAUUUCUUUUCAAAAAACAAUUUAAGGCAUAUAAUAAAUCAGCACCUUUAAGGUACUGUAAGAAAAAAUUAGAAUUCUAUACCCAGCAAAAAUACCUUUCAAAAAUGAAAGUGAGAUACUUUUUCAGAGAUUUAAAAGCUGAAACAAUUCAUUAUCAGAUUUGUGGUACAAGGAGUGCUUAAAAAAAGUCCUUCAUAAAGAAGGACAAUGACACCUGAUAGAAAUGUGGAUCUACAAAUAAAGGGUACUGGAAAUGCCAAUUGCAUGGGUAAAUAUAUUGGUUUUUUUUUUUUUCUUAUUACUUAAAAAAAUUUUUUUUUUGGCUGCGCCUGUGGCACGUGGAAGUUCCUGGGAUCGAGCCUAUGAGGCAGUUUGCAACCUGUGCCACAGCUGUGGCAAUGUCAGUUUCUUAACAUGCCAAAAGGGAAUGUCCCUUAUUAUUGAAAUUUUUAAAAAGUUAAGUGAUUAAACAAAAUAAAUAAUAAUGUAUUUUUGAAAUUAUUCACAUGUAGAACUAAAAUUUAUGACAAAAAUAGCACAAAGGCUGGGAGUGGAGAAAUGGAAAUAUCCAGUUGUAAAGUUCUGAUGCUAUAUGUGAAGUGGAAUAAUAUUACUGGAAGGUAGGCAAUGAUAAGUUAGAGAUGAAUACGAUAAGCCCUUAAACUACCACUAAAACAAUACUAAGACUUUUAGAUAAUAAGCUGGAAAUAGAGAAAUAAAUGGAAUCAUAGAAAAUAAUUAACCCAAAGGAAGUCCAAGAAAGAGGAAAAGAGAACCAAGGACCAAUGUGACAAACACAAAACAAAUAUCAAGAUGGCAGAUUUAACCUAACCCCAGCAGUAAUCACAUUAAAUGCAGUUGGUUUAACCUAAUAUAGGACAUUAUAAACACACAAGUAUUUUUUUUGCCACAGUCCUCUCUCCCUUUCUUAAAUAACAGAACUCCUGAGUUUUACCUUUGUGUACAAUUGCCCAAUGGAGACGACAUUUCCUAGCUACCCGUGUAGCCUAUGUAGCCAUAUGACUAAGUCUUGGCCAAGGAACCAUAAGCUCAGGUGUUCUGUACCACCUCUAGGAUGUGUCAUUGUGCACUGCUUGCUUUUUCCCCUUUUGAUGGCUGGAAAAUGGGGGGCGGGGGUACAGGAACAGCCACCUCGGACUAUACUGUAAUUAGAUGAAGAAGCAACAUGUCGAGGUAGACAAGGGUACCUAUCAGCCUUCAACGACAUACCUCUGAACUGGUUGUAUUUACGCUACUUUUUUCAUUUACCCCACAUCAUACUUUGAGACAAGGACUUGGAUGCAGUUAAUUUAUUUGGGAAGUCAUCCUAGGAAGCAAAGGCAAAAGAGGAAAGGCAAUAAUGGAUGCAUUAAUGUGUGGGUAACUUGCUGUGGGCACAUGCCAUUGGGGACUCUCAGAAAAACAUCUCAGAAUCAUUCGGCAGUAAGCUGGGAUUCUGGGACUUUUAUUGACAGAUUCCCUUACCCAAUGGGUGAGGUAAGGGAAUCUGUCUCCUUCUUAGAGUAUUAACUCUUAGAACUGUCAGUGGUCCAAGAACCACCUUCAUGUGGUGCUGUAGAUGAAGUCCUCAGCAGAAUGGGCUGGCACCAAGAGUGUCUGAGUACUAUAACAUUAUUCUCAUAAGUAUGUUUUCUCAUGUAAAAGCAGCCCAGCUGUCACAAUUAAAAUGGGGCAUUUCUGAUAAGAAAGUUAUAAUUAUUUACUAAUUUGCUUCUGACAUAUAGGAUUCUACCAUUUCAAAAAAUAUUGCAGAAUCAAUAAUUCUGUGUUAUGGAGUAAGAAUAAACUCUAUAUUACAGACUGACUUGUUGAUGUCAACUAUACUUCACAAAUUUGGUGUGAAAAUAUUGACUUAUGGCCUUCAUAAUUUUAGGGAUUACCAAUUGUCUCAAUAUUUGAUUAAACUUCCGAAGUCUGGUUGAUCAUUUUUUCAGUAUAUAUUAUGGAUAUUCUGGCAUCAUGGGUUAACUAAUUUUACCUUAAGUUCCCAGGCUCUUUACUUGUUCGUUACCUUACAAAUUCCCAGACAUCAUACCUUAAAUAUUUUUACUAGUAAGUGUAAUAUCUGUUUUAUGUUGAGGGAAUAAGUUAUGUGCCCAGUACGUGUCCUUUGGCUUCUCAUUUAAUGCACAGUAGGUGUAAAUUAAUAUAUCACAGCACAGCUUUUCUGAAGGCUAUUAACUAGACUGUGCCUACAGCUGGUUUGCAGUAGAGAAAAUGCUCUUCUAAAAGAGCCACCACUUUGUGCUUGUGUUUGAAACUUUAAGAUUUCUGUCUUGGAUGUACCAUAUGUUUUACAGCUUCUACUUUGUAGAGCUUUUAAGAGAGGUGUUGGAGAAGUUUAAGAGUUUCAGGUAAGAAAUUGUUUAUUUUUACAUUGCUAAUAAUUAGGAAGUUAAUUUUUUAUUACCAAGGUUUGAAAACUAUGUAUUUUGGGGAGAUGUUAAUAUAAAAUCUGAUAAACAUUUCAAGGUCAUUUUGAGGGGUAUGAAGAGUGCUAAAAAGUUUUUUAAAUUAUAUUUUUCAAAAAGAAUGUAAGUGGAAAUUAAAGACUAUCAUUCAAAAAUGAAUGACUUUUUAUUUUUGAAAGACAUUUAAUUUAAUAUUUUUAGUGUUCUGAUGUAAUUAAUGUUUUAACAUUUAAAGACAACAACUGGAUGUACCAUCCAGGUCAGUUUUAACACAUUCAAGAUUCUAGAAGUUAUAUUAUACAAUUAUCCUCUGCAUUACAAUAAGGGUGUCAAAAUCCAGUACCUCUGGAUUCCAUAGCUAAUGCCCAAAUCAGAAACUCAACAGCUAUACAACUAAGGUAAACACUUCCAAUGGCAAGAAUAACAUGGAGGAAUAUAUGAUCAAGUCUUUUGUGAUGACUGUGGAUGAAAUCAUAUUUAUUUACAGUGUAUAUGCUUUACAGUCGUAGAAUAAUGCUGCAAAAUAAGCUUUUGGGAAAAGAAUUAUUUCUACAUACUGUUUAUAGGAGUAUCAGUUUGUGUAAACUUAUACACAGGGUAAUUUGGUAAUAUCUCUUAACAGUUAAAAUACAUAUGCCUUUGGUCCAGCAAUUUUAUUGCUAAGAAUUCAUCCUACUUGAAUAUACAAAUAUAUAUAUGUACAUGCAAGAUCAUUUCAGUAGAUUGUAAUGUAAGAAAUGGAAGGAACUUAUAUAUCAAUAGGAAAUUGUUAAGUAAAUAAUAGUUCAAUUGUACAUGAAAUAAUAUUUACUUAUUACCAUGAAUGAAUUUUACUUUUAUGUGUCACCAUGAAGGUCUUCCAAUAUAUAUUUUUAAGAGAGAAAAGAUAAAGCAGUGGAUAUGUUACUCAUAUGCAUAGAUAUGUACAGGUACUUGUUUUCUUGUAUAUGUCUCCAAAAUUUUUAUAAUGAGACCCAAGGAAUUAAUUUUGCAUUCAGAGAGUAGGACUUGGGGUUAGAGUAGAGAGAGAUAUUUAUUUUUUAUUUUACUACCGUAAGUCUAUUUGAAUUUAUUUUAAAAAUUAUGUGCAUAAGUUGUUUUUAAACAAUUACAUUAAAAAAUAAAAUUGAAAAAUAAAACUAUUUUAUAGACCCCCAACUUAAUUUGAUAGUGAAACUAUGGAGAAACAUAUCACAAAGGUUCAUUGCCAUCCUAAUAUUUUUCAAAUACACUAACUCCAAAGAAUGACAGGGUACGUUGAUACUUGAUAAUUUUUUGUUCUCUCUGAUUUUGCCUCUUUUCAUUUGGUUUGAUUUAAUUAUUUAUUUAGUUUGGUAUUUUAAGAGAGUAGUCAGUUGUCCAGUUCCUUUUCUUAUAAAUAACACUGUUUUACCAAAAUUCUUUUUUUAUAUACACUAUAGCCAAACUUAGCAAGAAUGAUUUAGUAUUUUUCCAUCAGUAAAUUGUUAUAAGUUGAUAUAAAACAUUCAAUGAUACAAAAGCCACAGGCAGAUUCCAUCCUGGCAUAUUCUCCAUUGCGAGUACAAGGAGAUGGGGGCAGGAGUGGGGUUGGGAAAGAGUUGCUGUAGGAUUUGCUGGCAGCUGCCUCCGGUUCCUGUCUUUCCUUACUUCACUUAAUCUCUGAGAAUGAGGCCUAAGUAUGAUAUAGAUAAGCUUUCUCAAAAAGUUCUUCAUCAAGAAGACUCCUUGCUUUGUUCCCCAAGCUGCAAGGAUGUUUUGAGAACCAGCUCUAGUUCAGAAGGGGAGGCUUGUUUUUUAAAUGCAACUUUUAUUAGAGAAGUAUUUAAAAAUAUAUUUAUUAUAAUUUAUAGUUUAGAAAGAGUUGAAAAGUAUAAAGAUGCAAAUGUCAAUCUUUCUACCCAUUUAUCAGUCGAACAUUCAAAUUCCAUCUUACAGGGGCAAUUGUUAGAUUACUAUUCAGUAUUUUGGUGGAUUUUAUAAAAACAUAACUAAGGGGGGUUCCUGUCAUGGCCCAGUGGAAACAAAUCUGACUAGUAGCCAUGAGGGUGUGGGUUUGAUCCCUGGCCUCGCUCAGUGGGUUAAGGAUCCAGUGUUGCUGUGAGCUGUGGUGUAGAUAGCAGACGCAGCUCAGAUCAGAUCUGAUGUUGCUGUGGCUGUGUCAUAGGCCGACAGGUACAGCUCCGAUUGGAGCCCUAGCCUGGGAAUCUCCUUAUGCUGCAGGCACAGCCCUAAAAAGACAAAUACACACACACACACACACACACACACACACACACACACACACACACACACACAGCUAGGGAGUUCUCUUGUGGCUCAGUAGGUUAAGGAUCAGGUGUUGUCACUGCAGCAGUUCAGGUUGCUGCUAUGGCCCAAGUUUAGUCCCUGGCCUGGAAACUCUCACAUGCCAUAGGCGUGGCCAAGUAAUCCCCAACAUGGCUGCAUUACAUGUUAUCAAUCUUAUAGUUUGGUUUGGUUUGGUUUGGUUUGGUUUUGGCCACUCCCACAGCAUGUGGAAUUUCCUAGGCCAGGUAUCAAACCUGCACUACAGCAGCGACCUGAGCCCCUGCAGUGGCAAUGCUGGAUCCCUAACCCACUGCACUGCAAGAGAACUCCAUCUUUUUGUUUAAACUAUUAUAUCCUCUCAUUGUUAAAAAUUUUUCCUAAACAUAAUUUUCACAGCUGCUUAAUAUUCCAUUCUGAAUGUAUCAUAUUUUGUACAGUCAUUCAUCUAAAUUUAAAUAAAGUCAAAUUUAUUAAAAAUUUAGUUUUUACAAGGACUGCUACUACAAACUUCUUUUUGUAAUAAUUCUCAAGUUCCUUGUUGGCUCAGUGGUUUAAGGAUCUGGCAUUGUUACUGCUAUGGCUCUGGUUACUGCUGUGGUUUGUGUUCCAUCCUUGUCCCGGGAACUUCUAUGUGUCAUGAGCGUGGCCAAAAAAUAAAUAAAUAAAAUAAAAUAAAUUAAAAUGAAAAAAUCUCAUUUAUUGUUCUGAUAAUUAUUUUGUUUACUUUUCCUUUUUGAAAUUUUUGUGCGUAUUUUGGAAUGAAGUGACCAUUUAAAGUUUUUUCAAGUUUCACAUGUACUCAAGUAGGCAAACUAACCAUCUGUGAUAAUUCAAGAGUAUUCGGAGAUUUCGGGGUACCUUGAACUGGUAGCAUUCACAGCUCUUUGUGUGUAUCUCUGCAUGAUG
This 6322-nucleotide long non-coding RNA is filed under the name Sus scrofa (pig). RNAcentral's name for it is "lncRNA (ENSSSCG00000062756.1)". Lineage: Eukaryota; Metazoa; Chordata; Mammalia; Artiodactyla; Suidae. The record is from RNAcentral.